Molecule: ribosomal RNA, 497 nt
Filed under: uncultured bacterium
Lineage: Bacteria
Description: partial 16S ribosomal RNA
Rfam family: Bacterial small subunit ribosomal RNA
Source: RNAcentral
GAUGAACGCUGGCGGCGUGCCUAAUACAUGCAAGUCGAGCGAACAGACGAGGAGCUUGCUCCUCUGACGUUAGCGGCGGACGGACAAGUAACACGUGGAUAACCUACCUAUAAGACUGGGACAACUUCGGGAAACCGGAGCGAAUACCGGAUAACAUGCUGAACCGCAUGGUUCAACAGUGAAAUACGGUCUUGCUAUCGCUUAUAGAUUGAUACGCGCCGCAUUAGCUAAUUGGUAAGGUAACUGAUUACCAAGGCAACGAUGCGUAGCCGACCUGAGAGGGUGAUCAGCCACACUGGAACUGAGACACGGUCCAGACUACUACGGGAGGCAGCCGUAGGGAAUCUUCCGCAAUGGGCGAAGGCCUGACGGAGCAACGCCGCGUGCGUGAAGAAGGUCUUCGGAUCGUAAAACUCUGUUAUUAGGGAAGAACAAAUGUGUAAGUAACUAUGCACGUCUUGACGGUACCUAAUCAGAAAGCCACGGCUAACUACGUG